ACGGAAGGCAGCAGUGGGGAAUAUUGGGCAAUGGGCGAAAGCCUGACCCAGCAACGCCGCGUGAAGGAAGAAGGCCUUCGGGUUGUAAACUUCUUUUACCAGGGACGAAGGACGUGACGGUACCUGGAGAAAAAGCAACGGCUAACUACGUGCCAGCAGCCGCGGUAAUACGUAGGUUGCAAGCGUUGUCCGGAUUUACUGGGUGUAAAGGGCGUGUAGGCGGAGCCGCAAGUCAGAUGUGAAAUCCCGGGGCUCAACCCCGGAACUGCAUUUGAAACUGUAGCCCUUGAGUAUCGGAGGGGCAGGCGGAAUUCCUAGUGUAGCGGUGAAAUGCGUAGAUAUUAGGAAGAACACCGGUGGCGAAGGCGGCCUGCUGGACGACAACUGACGCUGUGGCGCGAAAGCGUGGGGAGCAAACAGGAUUAGAUACCCUGGUA
This 437-nucleotide ribosomal RNA is filed under the name uncultured Oscillospiraceae bacterium. Its description in RNAcentral is "partial 16S ribosomal RNA". It matches the Rfam family "Bacterial small subunit ribosomal RNA", at positions 341 to 792 of the family's 1533-position model. Lineage: Bacteria; Bacillati; Bacillota; Clostridia; Eubacteriales; Oscillospiraceae. The record is from RNAcentral.